GACGAACGCUGGCGGCGUGCCUAAUACAUGCAAGUCGAGCGGAUGACGGAGGAGCUUGCUCCUCCUGAUUCAGCGGCGGACGGGUGAGUAACACGUGGGCAACCUGCCCUGUAGAUUGGGAUAACUCCGGGAAACCGGGGCUAAUACCGAAUAAUCCUUCGGACCUCAUGGUCCGAUGUUGAAAGACGGUUUCGGCUGUCACUACAGGAUGGGCCCGCGGCGCAUUAGUUAGUUGGUGAGGUAACAGCUCACCAAGGCCACGAUGCGUAGCCGACCUGAGAGGGUGAUCGGCCACACUGGGACUGAGACACGGCCCAGACUCCUACGGGAGGCAGCAGUAGGGAAUCUUCCACAAUGGACGAAAGUCUGAUGGAGCAACGCCGCGUGAGUGAAGAAGGUUCUCGGAUCGUAAAACUCUGUUGUGAGGGAAGAACAAGUACCGGAGUAACUGCCGGUGCCUUGACGGUACCUCAUUAGAAAGCCACGGCUAACUCUGUGCCAGCAGCCGCAGUAA
This 514-nucleotide ribosomal RNA is filed under the name uncultured bacterium. RNAcentral describes it as "partial 16S ribosomal RNA". It matches the Rfam family "Bacterial small subunit ribosomal RNA", at positions 28 to 523 of the family's 1533-position model. The record is from RNAcentral.